AUGUGACUGACUUUUACGUUAUAAUGACGAUCACACACUAGGAAUGUUAUAAAGCGCCUAUAUAGGACAGUUUCUUUUGUAUAUUAUCUGACUUUAUAAACAACAAUGUGCUUCUAUUUUUUUUCAGGCUAAAUCUACCCAAGACACUGGCUGUCAGACUGAUUUAGUAGUCUGCAAGAAUGCACUUGUCCAGGCUGACGUGAAAAGCCUUACCCGUAGCAAAGCCACCCAGUUUAGAGCUCCCAGCCUCAGUGUGUCUUGUGACACAGGGACCAUGACGGAAAUUCAUCUUCCAGAAAGUCCCAGAGCAGCGUCCACACCCCCUGAAAAGACCAAGAUGUGAGGUGUCUGCUGUUGAUUCCAGCUUCCACCUCAGUGACAGUGCAAGCUCAGUGAACUGUUCAAGGAGGCUACUGAUUCUGCCCCUGUGACACUUGGUGGUGACGUGUGAGCUGAUUCACCUGGACACUCAGCAAAAUAUGGACUCUACACCAUGAGGCAGGCACACGUUAAUACUCUAAGAGCACAUAAGCAUGAGGAUGUCCUCACACACCUGUAACCUAUCAGCUCAUCUGGCAGAAUAGAGAGAGAAGAGACAACACCACAUCUCCUGUUCCUGGAAAGCUUUCAGCCAUCCUUCGUUGACUGAGAACCUCCAUCAGCUCUGUCUCCUGUCUGCCUACAAUUAUUAUAAUAAAUAUUGUAUUUGACAAGUUUUUUGUGCUGCCAAAUAUCUCAUUUUGAUUCCAG
Nothobranchius furzeri (turquoise killifish) is the source of this 750-nucleotide long non-coding RNA. RefSeq lists it as uncharacterized. Lineage: Eukaryota; Metazoa; Chordata; Actinopteri; Cyprinodontiformes; Nothobranchiidae. The record is from RefSeq and is a predicted model, not a curated record.